UUAUUGCCAUAUUUACCUUUUUUAUGAAUUGUAUGAACGGACAUACAGUUGUAGUGCCACUUGACAUUGUUUUUCUUAUAAAAUAUUCAGUAUAAAUUUCCAAAUCAUUUGUUUUAAAUACAUGAUGAAUCCGUAUUCUACUUUCAAGACCAUAACACAUAUAUAUUUAUUUGUUGCAGAGAUUCAAAUUACCUUCAGAGUUUCCAGUUGUUUGGUACGCCGUUAUUUGUAACAGUACAGCGAUCCAACUGCUCAUACACUGACUUGUACAAUAUAGUACUAGAAAGGAUGUCACGUUUUGUGUAUGUUCCCGGUGAUGAUGAAUCACAAGAUAUCCACAGGAAGUCGCAGAAUGGCAAUAUUGCAGGCUCCGAGUCUUUACAGAAAAUAUUCCAGUUCUCAGUCGUCAAUUCUUAUAGGACUGCAGAAAUGGCCCACAAACUAAAUGAUGAUGGGAACCAUUUGAAGCUAAGUAGCGAAAUGUACAUAGCUGCCAACUGGAGCGAUGGAGCUAAGAAAGAGUUCUACAAUGACAGCGAGGCCGAAUCAUUUGAAAUCCUUAUAGUGACAAAAGAAACAACAAAUAUCGAACAGUUGCUUGAACAGUUCACCGCUACGGAGGAUCUUGAAGAAUCCCUUGCAAGGUAUUGUGAGAAAUGUAAGAAGAAGUUGCCUGUUGCAAAAAAAUUGACCUAUUGUCUCUACCAAACACACUGGUGAUUCACUUAGAUCGAAACGUUUCGGAAAGCGGAAAAGAAGUUUGGAUAGAUUUCCCAACACGAGGUCUUGACUUGGGAAAGUAUGUGAAGAAUGAACCAGAAAACAACUGUUUAUUUGAUCUUAUUGGAGCUAUUAAUUACGGCGAAAACAAAUAUACACUGUACUGCAAAAAUGAUAAGGACAAUACCUGGUACUUUAUAGACAGCACAGGGAUUGCUGAAUCAACAGAGGAAGCUGUUACGUCCAAAGGAGCAUAUGGUCUAGUAUACCGAAGUAGACAAAGAAAAUAAAUGUAAUCAAGAUGACUUCACUAUGCAACAGUCUGACUACGGAAGGCGAUUUAUAACACAGAUUAUCAACAAAAUCGACACUUAAGAAAGCGUUAAAGAAGAAAUUCAAAUAGAACUGUUAAUUUUGGAUCCAUCUUCUGGCGGAAACAGUAAACUUAGUGUUAUACAUUUAACAUUUUACUUGUCAGUGCCACACUUCUGUUACCAACAUCCGAUUGCUGUUUUAACUUGGUAUGAUAAUAUAACACAACAGUUUGGUGAGCAGUACCAUUCCUUUUCAAGGUCAAACGAACGUGAAAGAGUCGAUACGGAAAAGUACUCAACUGCAACAUAACUGAAACCUGUUCAUACAUACACAAUAUCUGAACAGUGUAAGUACGCCUAAAAUACGUACAAUAACCAUCGUACGUUCCACGUUUCCGGUAUGAAUACAAAUCGAUGAGCUGGACAAUCGGUUAAGUGUCUCAAAAUUUUUCUAAACUUUCAAGAACAUGUAUUUUGCAAAUCAAGAUAUUAAGUUGCCAGUCUUCGUAAAAAGAAGUU
Molecule: RNA transcript, 1553 nt
Organism: Mercenaria mercenaria
Lineage: Eukaryota; Metazoa; Mollusca; Bivalvia; Venerida; Veneridae
Gene name: ubiquitin carboxyl-terminal hydrolase 4-like
Exons: 7
Source: RefSeq, a predicted model, not a curated record